GAACUGCGAUAAGUAAUGUGAAUUGCUGAAUUCAGUGAAUCAUCGAGUCUUUGAACGCACCUUGCGCUCCUUGGUAUUCCUUGGAGCAUGCCUGUUUGAGUAUCAUGAAAUCUUCAAAGUAAAUCUUUUGUUAACUCAAUUGGUUUCUACUUUGGUAUUGGAGGUCUUUGCAGCUUCACACCUGCUCCUCUUUGUUCAUUAGCUGGAUCUCAGUGUUAUGCUUGGUUCCACUCGGCGUGAUAAGUUAUCUAUCGCUGAGGACACUGUAAAAGGUGGCCAAGGUAAAUGCAGAUGAACCGCUUCUAAUAGUCCAUUGACUUGGACAAUACUUUUAUGAUCUGAUCUCAAAUCAGGUAGGACUACCCGCUGAACUUAAGC
This 378-nucleotide unclassified non-coding RNA is filed under the name plant metagenome. Its description in RNAcentral is "partial contains 5.8S ribosomal RNA, internal transcribed spacer 2, and large subunit ribosomal RNA". The stretch from base 1 to 105 matches the Rfam family "5.8S ribosomal RNA", at positions 50 to 154 of the family's 154-position model. The record is from RNAcentral.